Molecule: ribosomal RNA, 401 nt
Filed under: Arion subfuscus
Lineage: Eukaryota; Metazoa; Mollusca; Gastropoda; Stylommatophora; Arionidae
Description: partial 16S ribosomal RNA
Rfam family: Archaeal large subunit ribosomal RNA (bases 1-169)
Source: RNAcentral
GGUUAAGUCUGCCCAGUGAAAACUAAUUUUUUAACGGCCGCAGUACUUUGACUGUGCUAAGGUAGCAAAAUAAAUAGGCUUUUAAUUAAGGUCGAGAAUGAAUGGCACCAUGGGCGUAAACUGUCUCCUUUUAUGAUUGUUAAUUUGCUUAAUAGGUGAAAAGACCUAUAUUAAAAAUAAUAGACGAGAAGACCCUUAGAGUUUUUAACCAUAUUAACUAUUAGAUUAGUUUAUUAAUUUUUUGUUGGGGCGACAUAGUAUCAAAUAGCAUACUUAAUAUUAUUGAUGUAACAAGUCUUUAUUACAAUUGAAUAUAACUACCUAAGGGAUAACAGCAUAAUUUUUAACAUAAAGAUUGUGACCUCGAUGUUGGACUAGGGACUAAAUGUAUUAGUCAUAUA